UAGACCCUGAGAGACGGGCCAGCUCUUCUUGGAUGAGUUGCGAACGGGUGAGUAACGCGUACCCUUUUGCCUUGUAGCGGGGGAUAACUAUUGGAAACGAUAGCUNAUACCGCAUAACAAUGGAUGACACAUGUCAUUUAUUUGAAAGGGGCAAUUGCUCCACUACAAGAUGGACCUGCGUUGUAUUAGCUAGUAGGUGAGGUAAUGGCUCACCUAUGCGACGAUACAUAGCCGACCUGAGAGGGUGAUCGGCCACACUGGGACUGAGACACGGGCCA
This 278-nucleotide ribosomal RNA is filed under the name uncultured bacterium. RNAcentral's name for it is "partial 16S ribosomal RNA". It matches the Rfam family "Bacterial small subunit ribosomal RNA", at positions 62 to 333 of the family's 1533-position model. The record is from RNAcentral.